GUUAUUAGAAAAUAACUCGUUUAACGUAUUUUGUUUGUAAGAACUAGGUAACUAAGCAAGAAUUUACCGUGCCCUUGUCCUUUUUUUUGGAAUUAUGUACCUCUUUGCAACAAUUACUUUGGGAAGUCCUAGAUAAAAAAGAGUUCAACUUCUAUAUAUAUCUGACAGUUUAGUGGCAAAUUACGAAUAUUAUCAAAGGUGGUCAUGAUUUAAUGUAUAUGUAUACAAAACAAUUUUAAUUUAUAUAUACAAUAUAAUAUUUUAUAUAAUUUUAACGUAAUUUUUUUGGUGAAAGGUGUUUAUAAACCACCCUUUACUCUAUAUUAAUUACUUGAACAUAUAAAAUAGAUUAUUUGUUAUUACAACAGAUUAAAAUACACGGUGUUGUAACUUUUUAUUUUAU
Long non-coding RNA from Lycium ferocissimum, 403 nucleotides. RefSeq lists it as uncharacterized. NCBI's taxonomy places the organism in Eukaryota, Viridiplantae, Streptophyta, Magnoliopsida, Solanales, Solanaceae. The transcript is spliced from 3 exons. The record is from RefSeq and is a predicted model, not a curated record.